This 206-nucleotide long non-coding RNA is filed under the name Mytilus galloprovincialis (Mediterranean mussel). Lineage: Eukaryota; Metazoa; Mollusca; Bivalvia; Mytilida; Mytilidae. The record is from RNAcentral.
GGGCGCUGUUGUCCUAGCUGUUUAUGAAGUAUGGGCCAAGCUAUGGAUUUUUCUUGUUUCAGGACAAUAACUUGUGUAUAAGUGUAUGGAUCUCUAUGAAAUUUUAGCACAAGGUUCUAUACAUCAACAGGAAGCUUACGAUAGUUUUUUCGGGGACAUGAAGAAAACGUUUUAAAAAUUCGAGGCCACAAAAAUAAGAUUUUCUG